RNAcentral lists this unclassified non-coding RNA (329 nucleotides) under soil metagenome. RNAcentral describes it as "partial contains 5.8S ribosomal RNA, internal transcribed spacer 2, and large subunit ribosomal RNA". The stretch from base 1 to 120 matches the Rfam family "5.8S ribosomal RNA", at positions 35 to 154 of the family's 154-position model. The record is from RNAcentral.
GAUGAAGAACGCAGCGAAAUGCGAUAAGUAAUGUGAAUUGCAGAAUUCAGUGAAUCAUCGAAUCUUUGAACGCACAUUGCGCCCCCUGGUAUUCCGGGGGGCAUGCCUGUCCGAGCGUCAUUACAACCCUCAAGCUCAGCUUGGUGUUGGGCCCCGCCGCCCCGGCGGGCCCUAAAGUCAGUGGCGGUGCCGUCCGGCUCCGAGCGUAGUAAUUCUUCUCGCUCUGGAGGUCCGGUCGUGUGCUCGCCAGCAACCCCCAAUUUUUUUCAGGUUGACCUCGGAUCAGGUAGGGAUACCCGCUGAUCUUAAGCAUAUCAAUAAGCGGAGGA